CAUGCUACGUAUGUAUACACCUGAUAUGUGUAUGUGUAAAUACAUAUCCACACACAUAGCAGGUGUAUAUAUAGGUAGCCUG
Homo sapiens (human) is the source of this 82-nucleotide microRNA precursor. The record is from Ensembl. Lineage: Eukaryota; Metazoa; Chordata; Mammalia; Primates; Hominidae.